This 72-nucleotide transfer RNA is filed under the name Dactylopterus volitans (flying gurnard). RNAcentral describes it as "tRNA-Thr". It matches the Rfam family "tRNA". Rfam says of the family: Transfer RNA (tRNA) molecules are approximately 80 nucleotides in length. Their secondary structure includes four short double-helical elements and three loops (D, anti-codon, and T loops). Lineage: Eukaryota; Metazoa; Chordata; Actinopteri; Syngnathiformes; Dactylopteridae. The record is from RNAcentral.
GCAUUUGUAGCUCAGUGUGAGAGCGCCGGUCUUGUAAACCGGAUGUCGGAGGUUAAAUUCCCCCCUUUUGCU